CCCCCCCCCGCCUCUCGGCGUUAUCGGAAAGUUUGCAGCGUUUCCCGCGCGGCGCGGGGAAGGCCGGACCUGCGGUGGACCUGGCACCUGUCGCUGCGCCCAGGAUUAGGAGCACCCAGGACGAGGCGGCCUCCCAGUUGCUGGCCGCUUGCUUGGUGUGGCCCUGGCACCUGGGUACAGAGGAACCAAGGGGUGAGAGGGAACUCGACCUUGGACGGGAGGCGCCGUGGGUUCUUCCAGAAUUCUGUGAGGAAGGUGGCUGACUAGGACAAAGACGAGAUUCUCCGUACCAGAGGCCAGAGAGGUUCUGCUUCCAGCUCCUCAUCGGAAUGCUGACCAGAAAGAAAUGAAAUUAAUCUCUGACCCCGUCUGGGUAACACUGGAAAUUCAUCACAUAUCCUUUUAAUAUUGAAACACAGCACAGAAUUUUAAUAGAAAAUAUUGUUUUUCCAAACCUCCAGUCUUUAUUAAUGCCCCUGGGCAGGGAAUGAUAUUGCUGGCAAUAUAGCAG
Molecule: long non-coding RNA, 511 nt
Organism: Nycticebus coucang (slow loris)
Lineage: Eukaryota; Metazoa; Chordata; Mammalia; Primates; Lorisidae
Exons: 3
Source: RefSeq, a predicted model, not a curated record